GCUCAACCGGGGAGGGUCAUUGGAAACUGGGAAACUUGAGUGCAGAAGAGGAGAGUGGAAUUCCACGUGUAGCGGUGAAAUGCGUAGAGAUGUGGAGGAACACCAGUGGCGAAGGCGACUCUCUGGUCUGUAACUGACGCUGAGGAGCGAAAGCGUGGGGAGCGAACAGGAUUAGAUACCCUGGUAGUCCACGCCGUAAACGAUGAGUGCUAAGUGUUAGGGGGUUUCCGCCCCUUAGUGCUGCAGCUAACGCAUUAAGCACUCCGCCUGGGGAGUACGGUCGCAAGACUGAAACUCAAAGGAAUUGACGGGGGCCCGCACAAGCGGUGGAGCAUGUGGUUUAAUUCGAAGCAACGCGAAGAACCUUACCAGGUCUUGACAUCCUCUGACAACCCUAGAGAUAGGGCUUUCCCUUCGGGGACAGAGUGACAGGUGGUGCAUGGUUGUCGUCAGCUCGUGUCGUGAGAUGUUGGGUCAAGUCCCGCAACGAGCGCAACCCUUGAUCUUAGUUGCCAGCAUUUAGUUGGGCACUCUAAGGUGACUGCCGGUGACAAACCGGAGGAAGGUGGGGAUGACGUCAAAUCAUCAUGCCCCUUAUGACCUGGGCUACACACGUGCUACAAUGGACAGAACAAAG
RNAcentral lists this ribosomal RNA (637 nucleotides) under uncultured bacterium. RNAcentral's name for it is "bacterial SSU rRNA". It matches the Rfam family "Bacterial small subunit ribosomal RNA", at positions 607 to 1244 of the family's 1533-position model. The record is from RNAcentral.